Long non-coding RNA from Syzygium oleosum, 2377 nucleotides. RefSeq lists it as uncharacterized. The transcript is spliced from 2 exons. The record is from RefSeq and is a predicted model, not a curated record. Lineage: Eukaryota; Viridiplantae; Streptophyta; Magnoliopsida; Myrtales; Myrtaceae.
CUCUCUUAGCCAAGUGUCUCCACCGCCCUCAUUGGCCAACCGCCGCUUGGCCGCCCUUUGCCAGAGCUCUCGAUUUGAGUUGAUUUCUCUCCCGGUCACAAAGACCAUGUCCCAUGCCAGUCCUGCUGCCUGACGGUUUCGGCCUCUGUUCCAACAACGGGCGACCUUCCUCCGGUGCUCCAAGCUGUGCAAUUGUGUUCCUCAUCUUAUCCACAAAGUUGUUGUGGCUGGCUUCCGAUGAAAUAGCCGCAAGAGCUCUUCAAUUAGCUACUUGACGAGCUUCCAUUGGCUGAUUCGUGAAGUCGUUUGAAGUAAUACGGUGGCCAAUUAGCUUGAUUGAGCGUUGAAAAGUCUAUUGAUAAGGUGAGUAGUCUCCAAAUUUAGUAUAGGAAAUGUAGGAUGAAUGACAUGGCCAAAUAUGCAUGUGAAAUUGUGAAGGCCAAUUGCUAAUAUUGAGAUUGUUGUUGUAGGCUUAGAAUGAUGAUCGAAUGACAUAUGUUGUGUAGAAAUGGCUUGGCAAUUGCUUGUGGAUUGAUUGUUGAUUGUUAUCAUGUUCUGGAAAAUCAGAGCUCACUGAAUUAAUAAGCUUUGUCUAAUGAUUUGAGCCUUGAAAUGUUGAAAUCUUGAAAUCUUGAAAAGUGUUCAACUAGAGAAUCAAAAUAGACAUCCUCAGCUUCAAUUUAGUAGGUUUCAUGUCGAAGUCGAACAUCAUUUAUUAAGUCAAAUCGUCCUCGUGAUUUGAGGUCAGAAUCUGGAAAAUUUUAUUCUCUCUUCUGUGAUGAUUCAUUCCUGAUCAACCUUAUUUGGUUCAACGAUUUUUUUGAUUUUUUGUGCUCAUAAUCUAGAAAAUAUUUCUUCAUGAAAGUUUCAGAAAACAUCUUGAUCUUUCUAUCCUAAAAAUUUCAUAAAAUUCCAUGAUAAUUUGAUCAAUACAAUCCUUGCUCAAAGAGACGAUUUCAAUUCCGUGAUGACUGUUUUCCUAUUGACCUUUGCUUGUUUUAUGAUUUUUACGAUUUUUUGCAUUUGGAAUUUCACAACGUUUUCUUCAUGAAAGUUUUAAUUAAGAGUCUGAUAUUUCCAAUGGUAUCAAUUUUAUCAAAAUUGUAACUCGUUUUGUUGCUCAAGGGUCUGAUCAAUAUGCCGAUUGAUUUCCAUACUCAGAUCUGGAAAAUUGUCUUGAGCAUCCAAACGUGUUUUGCAAUUUUGGUAAAAUUCAUGUCCUUUUUUGCAAUAAAAUCAAAACUAAAAAUUUGUUGAUUAGGGUCUUAAUUUGUAAACUAGAAAAUUGGAGGACCUAAUAGCAACUUUUUAGGGGGUCAUUUGGCAGAAAUUUCGGAUAAGGUCAUCUGACCUGAAAACUGUUUUCAAUUGAGUCCUGGGUAAAAGUUUAAUUACUAGAAAAAAUCAGGGGCUUUUCAGUAAAAUACUAAAAUACAAAAGUUGUUUAGGACACCCUGUCCUAACUCUCUGUAAAAUUUGACGUAUUUUUUACCUCAUUUGAUAUUUUUCCCACAUUUUUUCAAAUCAUGGGCUGGAAACUGGUCAAGUCUUGGGUAUCUGGUUUAAUUCACAAUUUUCAGGUAAAUCAGAUUAGAACCGGUCGAAAUGAUCUUCACGAACUUUGAACUUAACAUCUUAAAAUUUCUAAUGGUUCUUGAAUCGACUUAAUUGAACUCCAUUUGAUAAGCCAAUUGAGUCUAAACAGAAUCUGCUUGAAAUAUGGAGUUUAAUUGAAUAAGUGAUCCUCACGAGGCUUACUUCCUCGUUGUGAUUGAUUCAGAAACAAGGCCACUUGGCCUAAUUGCAUGCCUAAUUUGUUGCUUAUACGUGUGUUUGCUAGAUGAAUGAUUAAAUGUGAUGCUUGUUUGAUGGGUAGCCUGUUGAGGACGUUUAGAACCGACUUUAGGAGUCAAUUGAUAUCGACCAUCGUUUAAUGAAUGCAAUUGGUGGCCGAUCAUCAUUAACCAUCAAUUAAUGAAUCUUAGUCAUUAGGAAUGGGAGAUGAUCAAAAUGCAUGAAAGGCAAAGGCUAACCCCGAAGCCAGUUCAUUGCUUUGAUGAUUGGGUAUUAUUGUUUUGCCUUGCUUGUUUGCCUACAUUGGAAAGUCAAUCAAAAACCGAUACCACCGAGGUGGUCCAUGGAGGAGGCAGCCCAGGGUCAUGAAGUGGGAGGCCAAAGACCGAUGUCCAAUCCUAUCUCAUUUUGUAUUCCAUUCGAUACAUGACCAUGUCUCAGAUUUCAGUUAGUUUUGUAAUAAAUAGCUGACGAGUCGUGGGUUUUCCUUCAUUACACUUAGAUUGGUUCGUCUUUCAACUUAAUUGGAUGUUUACUUACCACAUUGCAUUUUCAAUACAAUUGCUUGUUAAUUUCCCUUUUU